GUCCUGCCGAUUUUUUCUCACUUCAUGUCAUAAUCUUCUGUGACAUCACAAUUAAUUCCUGUGGAGAUGAUUAUGGAGACAUAGAGAGGAUUAUGAUUUCAGGAAAGUGAUAAACAGCAGGCACAGAAUAAGGCCUUCUUUUACUUCUCAAGGAUUACCAGCUUGGUAACAGCAAAAGCCAAGAGGGGGGAGAAAAAGUGGAACUCUUGUUAUCUGAUGCAACCAAGAAUCAAUAAUAAAGAAAUGGUGAAUAUUUGUUAUAAUGUCCUGAGGCUCAGCAUUAGUGACAAGGAUAUUUCUAACUACCAACUAAUAAAUGGAUCUUGAUUUAAUGAAAAUUGUGUAUUAAGGGGUCCUGUUCUGUCAACCAAAGGGGAUUCGAUUCGAUCUGUCCUGUUCAUGUCAUGAAAUGCUUCAUUUCACCUUUCCUCAAAGCAAUUGAUGCCAGCUAGCCCUAGACCUCCACAAAUAAGGGGACCGGCAGGAAGCAAUCUAUUAUUAGUGAUCAUUGGAAGGAAUAAGGAUCAGCCCCAAAAUGAGUUAAUUGAUCUUCUAGUAAGACACAGGCUUCAAAAUUGGCUGGUAGUAGGAACACCCAGGCCACCAACACCACUGAGCCACCCCAGAUGGUUGUUUCAGUGGUUGGGAACCAACCAUAAGCUGAACUUGUGAGACACUUCAUCAAGAUUUCUGCACUUGAGCCGAAGAAGCUGGAGUAUUAAUUCCUUGGAUGUUUGAAUCACAAUAUGUGCAAUAAAGAAACCACCCACAGCCAUGUUUUCUGCUUCAUGAACUUAAAUGGGGGAAGAUAUUCUACAAAUGAAAGGGGCUGAGAAAAGAGAUGCUUGGAAAGGAGCAGAGAAAAAUAGAGAAAAAGUCCUAACAUUGUUGGAAUCCUCGGAUCCCUUAAUUUCUGAAGCCCCAAUACUUUCCUUUCAUUGGUUUCUGAAUUCAAGAAUCUCCUUAGUACAUUCCUCCUUUUUGAGUAAGCUAGUUUGAAUUGAAUAGCUGUUACUUUGCCCAAACAUGUGUUAAUUAUACCGUAUGGUACCGAAGAGUUGUCUGGAUCAAAAGUGCAGCAAAGUGGACUGGCCAUUGCAGCCUCACCAAAGGGCUGUUCAGGUCAUGAUCUAAUAUUGGGAAACACAAGGAUCACUGUGAAAGCCUCACUAAUCAGGGGAUUUAAUCCAAAUUGUGUGGCACCACUGUUCUGUUGCACCUGCAUUCUCAGGACCAUGGUUAGCUGUCCAAACUGCAAAAACACUUUGUAUGGCAGAAGCAGGGAGUAGUUCUCAGACUACAUUAGAUGCCCACUUCAUUCAAAGAACAUACAGGCCAAUAAGACAAAAGGCAGACUGAAUAAUACUAGGUCAAGAUGAUUGACUUCCCACACUUCCAUAGAGCUGGCUGCUUUAUUAUCCUGCACAACUCUCUAUCAAUAAUCUUUACUCUGUUCCCCUCUCUUCUCUGACCCAGGCUUGGUUAUCACAAGAGUUAACAUUCUUUCUUGCCCUAUACAUGUAGUCAGGAAUAUGGAGAAAUAAAAUGAGUCAGGAUCUGGGAUUUUCUGAACCAGAAUACAUCACCUUUUAAGAUCUAUGACUUCAGAGUUCAAGGUAGACAAGGGUAUAUGUGGGUCCCUGCUUUCCUUCCAUCUGCAUUAGAGGUAGAAUGAGCUUAUGGUGGUUGAAUCACCAAAACUACUGAGUACAUGCUUUUCUUCUUUGAGAGACAGAGACAGUGUGAGUAGGGGAGGGGCAGAGAUAAAGGAAGAGAGAGAAUCAUAAGCAGGCUCCCUGCUGUCAGCAUGGACCCCAACGUGGGGCUUGAACCCAUGAAACUGCGAGAUCAUGACCUGAGCCAAAACCAAGAGUCAACAAAUACCAGCUGAGCCACUGAGGCAGCCCUAGUACAUGCUUUUCAAUAACAGUAUUUUAUAUCAUUUACCUGAAUGUAUGUGAGUGUGUGUGUGCGUAUAUGUUUUGUUUUAUUAUCAGUUUUAUGGACUUAUUUAAGAUGUCUGAGAACUACUCACUUCAGAUAAAAACUAUUCUUGACAACUCUUUAUGUCAGUCUUUUUCUUAUAUUAUUAUUAUUAUUAUUAUUAUUAUUAUUUUGAAUUGGUGGGUUUCAUUUCAAGGUGAUAAUAGAUGAUUUGUACCUUUUUAGUAAUCAUCUGAAGGCAAACCACCUUUGUUUAUUAGUUUGCUAUUUCUCCUGGGAAAUUAUUUUCUAGAAUUCCUGCCCAAUUGGUCCAAUUUAAGGACUCUUAAGCCAAGGUUGAGGAGAUAGAAUAAUAAAAGUCAUCAUAUGACCCUGGUAUUCAUGACAUAACUUGUACUUUACUCAUAAACUUUAGUCUAAUUUUGAAACAUUUUCGACUAUAGAUGCUGGAGAGGAUGUGGAGAAAUGUGAACCCUCUUGCACUGUUGGUGGGAAUGCAAACUGGUGCAGCCACUCUGGAAAACAGCGUGGAGGUUCCUCAAAAAAUUAAAAAUAGACCUACCUAUGACCCAGCAGUAGCACCGCUAGGAAUUUACCCAAGGGAUACAAGAGUACUGAUG
Molecule: long non-coding RNA, 2564 nt
Organism: Acinonyx jubatus (cheetah)
Lineage: Eukaryota; Metazoa; Chordata; Mammalia; Carnivora; Felidae
Exons: 4
Source: RefSeq, a predicted model, not a curated record